GAUGAACGCUGGCGGCGUGCCUAAUACAUGCCAGUCGAGCGAACGGACGAGAAGCUUGCUUUUCUGAUGUUAGCGGCGGACGGGUGAGUCACACGUGGAUAACCUACCUAUAAGACUGGGAUAACUUCGGGAAACCGGAGCUAAUACCGGAUAAUAUUUUGAACCGCAUGGUUCAAAAGUGAAAGACGGUCUUGCUGUCACUUAUAGAUGGAUCCGCGCUGCAUUAGCUAGUUGGUAAGGUAACGGCUUACCAAGGCAACGAUGCAUAGCCGACCUGAGAGAGUGAUCGGCCACACUAGAACUGAGACACGGUCCAGACUCCUACGGGAGGCAGCAGUAGGGAAUCGUCCGCAAUGGGCGAAAGCCUGACGGAGCAACGCCGCGUGAGUGAUGAAGGUCUUCGGAUCGUAAAACUCUGUUAUUAGGGAAGAACAUAUGUGUAAGUAACUGUGCACAUCUUGACGGUACCUAAUCAGAAAGCCACGGCUAACUACGUG
Molecule: ribosomal RNA, 497 nt
Filed under: uncultured bacterium
Lineage: Bacteria
Description: partial 16S ribosomal RNA
Rfam family: Bacterial small subunit ribosomal RNA
Source: RNAcentral